RNAcentral lists this ribosomal RNA (253 nucleotides) under uncultured bacterium. Its description in RNAcentral is "partial 16S ribosomal RNA". It matches the Rfam family "Bacterial small subunit ribosomal RNA", at positions 524 to 776 of the family's 1533-position model. The record is from RNAcentral.
UACGUAGGGUGCGAGCGUUGUCCGGAAUUACUGGGCGUAAAGAGCUCGUAGGUGGUUUGUCGCGUUGUUCGUGAAAACUCACAGCUUAACUGUGGGCGUGCGGGCGAUACGGGCAGACUGGAGUACUGCAGAGGAGACUGGAAUUCCCGGUGUAGCGGUGAAAUGUGUAGAGAUCGGGAGGAACACCGGUGGCGAAGGCGGGUCUCUGGGCAACUCCUGACGCUGAGGCGCGAAAGCGUGGGGAGCAAACGGG